UUAACUAUUAUAUAUUUCUCAGACAAUUUAAAUACAAGAAUGAUUGCAACUCUGGCAAACCCACGCAUAACGUGUGUUUACCAAAGCAACUUGGUGUGGUAUUCAGGACGGGAGAUAUACCCAAAGGGCAAGUUCUCUCUAAUGAUCCUUCCGCAGGUUCACCUACGGAAA
This 171-nucleotide unclassified non-coding RNA is filed under the name uncultured fungus. RNAcentral describes it as "sequence contains ITS1". The record is from RNAcentral. Lineage: Eukaryota; Fungi.